GCGCCUCUAGCUCAAUUGGAUAGAGCAUCUGACUACGGAUCAGAAGGUUGCAGGUUCAAGUCCUGCGAGGCGUGCCA
This 77-nucleotide transfer RNA is filed under the name Puniceicoccales bacterium. RNAcentral's name for it is "tRNA-Arg". It matches the Rfam family "tRNA". Rfam says of the family: Transfer RNA (tRNA) molecules are approximately 80 nucleotides in length. Their secondary structure includes four short double-helical elements and three loops (D, anti-codon, and T loops). The record is from RNAcentral. Lineage: Bacteria; Pseudomonadati; Verrucomicrobiota; Opitutia; Puniceicoccales.